UACGAAGGGGGCUAGCGUUGCUCGGAAUGACUGGGCGUAAAGGGCGCGUAGGCGGCUUGCACCGUCAGAUGUGAAAUUCCUGGGCUUAACCUGGGGGCUGCAUUUGAUACGUGUGGGCUUGAGUGCGGAAGAGGGUCGUGGAAUUCCCAGUGUAGAGGUGAAAUUCGUAGAUAUUGGGAAGAACACCGGUGGCGAAGGCGGGUUACUGGGCUGAUACUGACGCUGAUGCGCGAAAGCCAGGGGAGCAAACGGG
Molecule: ribosomal RNA, 253 nt
Filed under: uncultured bacterium
Lineage: Bacteria
Description: partial 16S ribosomal RNA
Rfam family: Bacterial small subunit ribosomal RNA
Source: RNAcentral